Molecule: ribosomal RNA, 737 nt
Filed under: Alexandrium fundyense
Lineage: Eukaryota; Dinophyceae; Gonyaulacales; Pyrocystaceae
Description: eukaryotic LSU rRNA
Rfam family: Eukaryotic large subunit ribosomal RNA
Source: RNAcentral
UUAGCAUGAAGUGAAGCACAUACACCUGCUGAAUUUAAGCAUAUAAGUAAGUGGUGGAAAUUAAACCAAAUGGGAUAUCUUUAGUAAUUGCGAAUGAACAAGGAUAUGCUUAGCUUGACAAAUGGAGCUAUUGGCUUUGAAUUGUAUUUGUGGAAUGUAUUACCAACAGAGGUGCAGGUGCCAGCCUAUUAAAUAAAGCGUCAAUGAGGGUGAGAAUCCUGUUUGUCAUGUGCAGCCCUUUGUGCACGGUGUAUAUUUGCUGAGUCACACUCCUUGGCAUUGGAAUGCAAAGUGGGUGGUAAGUUUCAUGUACAGGUAAACAUGCAAUUGAGACUGAUAGCACACAAGUACCAUGAGGGAAAUAUGAAAAGGACUUUGAAAAGAGAAUUAAAUGAGUUUGUAUUUGCUGAACACAAAGUAAACAGACUUGAUUUGCUUGGUGGGAGUGUUGCACUUGCUUGACAAGAGCUUUGGGCUGUGGGUGUAAUGAUUCUUUCUUUGCAUGCCAGUUUCUAUGUGUACAUCUGAUUACCUUUGCACAUGAAUGAUAAGUCUCCUGUGGGGGGUGGAUUGCAUGUGCAUGUAAUGAUUUGUGUUUUGAUAAAUGUGUCUGGUGUAUGUGUGUGUGUUCCUGUGCUUGGGGAUGCUUCCUUCCUUGGACUUACAAGCCCUGACACACACAUGCUGGCAAAAUGCUUCUGCUUGACCCGUCUUGAAACACGGACCAAGGAGUCUAA